Molecule: non-coding RNA, 410 nt
Organism: Crotalus tigris (Tiger rattlesnake)
Lineage: Eukaryota; Metazoa; Chordata; Lepidosauria; Squamata; Viperidae
Source: the annotation of a RefSeq genome assembly
CUCUUCUAAAAAAACAGUCUUCAAAGGGAUAAUAACAGAGAAGAAACAGGAUCAUGAACUGGCUGCCUCUAAUUUUCAUUCUCACAGUUUUGAAAGGCAGUUCACCCAGUCAUACCAUUACUGAAUCUGGUGGUGAUGUUAAGAGGCCUGGGGAGUCCAUAAAACUGACUUGUACAGUGUCUGGAUUUUCUGUAGCAGAGGCGUACAUGGACUGGAUCCGUCAACGUCCAGGCGAGGGACUGGAAUGGGUUGGACGUAUUGCAAAGAGUGGGACUGUAUAUUAUAAUAGUAUUUUGCAAAAUCGGUUAACCCUCACAAGAGAUACCUCCAAAAAUCAGGUAUUUGUCCAACUCAAUGGUCUAAAACCUGAAGACACUGCCUUGUAUUCCUGCGUAAAUAACACACAGUGA